This 301-nucleotide ribosomal RNA is filed under the name uncultured bacterium. RNAcentral's name for it is "partial 16S ribosomal RNA". It matches the Rfam family "Bacterial small subunit ribosomal RNA", at positions 509 to 807 of the family's 1533-position model. The record is from RNAcentral.
CAGCCGCCGCGGGAAUACGUAGGGUGCGAGCGUUAAUCGGAAUUACUGGGCGUAAAGCGUGCGCAGGCGGCUUUGCAAGACAGAUGUGAAAUCCCAGGGCUCAACCUGGGAACUGCAUUUGAGACUGUAUGGCUAGAGUGUGUCAGAGGGGGGUAGAAUUCCACGUGUAGCAGUGAAAUGCGUAGAUAUGUGGAGGAAUACCGAUGGCGAAGGCAGCCCCCUGGGAUAACACUGACGCUCAUGCACGAAAGCGUGGGGAGCAAACAGGAUUAGAGACCCGCGUAGUCCCUGUCUCUUAUAC